GUGGAGGGUCUAAUAUGUUUGAAGAAUUGGUAUAGUGAAAGCAACCAACCAAUUAUUGUCAAGGAAUACAUGGAUGAAGAAGAAUUACUAAAUACUUCUGAACAACUUGAAAAUGAUAUUAUUGCUAGCGAGCAUCCUAAAUGAUAUAUAGCGUUGUUGCAAGUUUGAAAUGGUUUCAUUAGAGAUUAAGAGUUGCAUUUCAUUUGGAGCCAACUUUUGAAGUCACUUUUGUUUUAAUUAUGGAGACUUUAUGAAUUAUUAUGAACUUAGAUUGUGUUAUGGACUUAAAUUAUGGACUUUUUUUUGGAUUGUUAUGAACUUGUAUGGACUUUUUAAGGACCUUUUCUAGAUUGUUACGAAAUUUUCAUGGAUUAUUAUUAUGCCUUGUUAUGGAGUUUAUAAAGAUUGAUAUGAAUUUUUUAAGGACUUUUAUGCAUUGUUAUUAACAGGUAUAAAUUUUUAGUUAUUUUUUUUUUUUUUCUUGUGACAAUAUACUUUGGAAGUUUUGAUUUUUAAGCAACCCAAACCGCCCAAAAAACCGCAUAAAACCGCCCCUUAAAAAACCGCCCAACCCAAACUUUUAUUGGGCAGGUAUGGGUUGUGAUUUUAAAAAACCGCCAAAUAAAAAAACCGCCAAACCGCCCAAAAACCGCCCAACCCAACCCAUGUGCA
Molecule: long non-coding RNA, 672 nt
Organism: Cannabis sativa
Lineage: Eukaryota; Viridiplantae; Streptophyta; Magnoliopsida; Rosales; Cannabaceae
Exons: 3
Source: RefSeq, a predicted model, not a curated record